GUUGGCAAUCAUCAUGAGCCCCUGUUCUCAUUCUGCAAAUGGUGAAGCUCUCUAUUGUCCUGACCCCACAGUUCCUGUUCCAUGAGCAGGGCCAGCUCACCAAGGAGCUGCAGCAGCACGUAAAGUCAGUGACAUGCCCAUGCGAGUACCUGAGGAAGACGAUCCUACACCUGCCACCUCCGAUGGAUCCACUGCGUCUGUGCCUGCCUGUACUGCCGAUGCUCCAGUGGAUAACUCAGCAUCCCAGCCUAGGCCCAAUGCCACUGAAGAUGGACCUGCCCCCUGGGGACCCAGGAGUCCUACCACUCAGCUGUCCCCAGGAGUGCCCAGACCCUCAUUGUUAUCCAGGACCUAGGAGCCCUACCCCUGGCCUUCCCUUAUCAGCCGUAAAUGAUGAUUUACUGCUGUUACCAUCAUCACUGCCUUCAGUGACCAAGGGCCUUCCAAGGUGCCAGCUCUGGAACGAAGGAUGCCCUUGGGAGGUGAUGACACUCAGGUACACGGGUGCUCAACAGAUUGCUUCCUCCUAUCCUCAGACGGUCUUUGCAUGCAUGCAGCCAUUGGCACUCCCAUUGUAUGGAAGGAAACCAGCCCAGGGUCACACAGCUGGUCAGCAGCAACAUAGCUGGUCUCUAAGGUGCCUGGCCAUGCCUCCAUGAGGGACCGCCUGCAAGGGAGGUUGAUCCUGGCUUUGGGGAGCCUUUCCUGGGCUGCACGAAUAACCUCCAUUGUUCGAGACCCCAAACUCCGCUCACAUCUUCCUUUCCCUGUCUCUGCUUGGGCUAUGAUCACGGUGACUCUAGCAGCCCUUCUUGGACAUUAUAGUACUCUCUGCCAUUCACUUUUGCUCUAAUCUGACUUCAACCCCCACUUACUUGGUCUCUCCUUUUACAACCAACACAACCGAAAUCUAGGGCUUCUUUUUUGUUUGUUUGUUUUUUGAGACAGAGUCUCAUUCCUUUCUGUCACCCAGGCUGGAAUGCAAUGGUACGAUCUCGGCUCACUGCAACCUCCGCUUCCCGGGUCCAAGGGAUUGUCCUGCCUCAGCCUCCUGAGUAGCUGGGAUUACAGGCGUGUGCCACCAUGCCUGGCUAAUUUUUGUAUUUUUAGUAGAGACGGGGUUUCACCAUGUUGGUCAGGCUGGUCUCGAACUCCUAACCUCAUGAUCCGCCUGCCUCAGCCUCCCAAAGUGCUGGGAUUACAGGCGUGAGCCACCAUGCCCAGCCAAAUCUAGGGCCGGAAUGUGGCUGCAGCAUAUAAAAAGAAUUGAAUUCCAUACUUUCGUUAACCCUGUUUUUUGUUUGUUUGUAGUUGUUGCUGUUUUUGAGACAGAGUCUCACUCUGUCGCCUAGGCUGGAGUGCAGUGGUGCAAUCUUGGCUCACUGCAGACUCUGCCUCCCGGGUUCAAACUAUUCUCCUGCCUCAGCCUCCCAAGUAGGUGGGACUACAGGCACCCACCACCACACCCGGCUAAUUUUUGUAUUUUAUU
Molecule: long non-coding RNA, 1489 nt
Filed under: Pan troglodytes (chimpanzee)
Lineage: Eukaryota; Metazoa; Chordata; Mammalia; Primates; Hominidae
Description: lncRNA (ENSPTRG00000054148.1)
Source: RNAcentral